AGCGUCUAAAGUUUUCAAACCACCUGAGGAUGCCAUUAACAGUCCCUCUAAUGAACCUUCUUCUGGACCUUGGGUCCCUAUUUCUGCAAAAAUAUCCUUCCACCACUCGAUGCCAUCUUGAUCUUGCAGCGGUGUUGCUGGUGAUUUUAUCUUGUUGAUGAUUAUAUUACUAUUAUUGUUGUCAUUGUUGUUAAUGUCGUUGCCGCUAAUUUUAUCAUAUAUUAUUUCCCCAGGCAAAGGAGAGUGCAUGUCACAAUGGGUAUUCAGAUUACAGCAGGGUAUGCUUGCCCCUUUUGAUAAGGUCCGGGGAAGGGGCUUCAAAACUUCAUGAGUACUCGCAUUACUAGUAGUCGCACUGCUUGUUUGUUUCCGAUUAAUG
This 379-nucleotide long non-coding RNA is filed under the name Daucus carota (carrot). Its description in RNAcentral is "long non-coding RNA (DCAR_LNC002170)". The record is from RNAcentral. Lineage: Eukaryota; Viridiplantae; Streptophyta; Magnoliopsida; Apiales; Apiaceae.